This 407-nucleotide ribosomal RNA is filed under the name uncultured bacterium. RNAcentral's name for it is "bacterial SSU rRNA". It matches the Rfam family "Bacterial small subunit ribosomal RNA", at positions 354 to 775 of the family's 1533-position model. The record is from RNAcentral.
AUUAGGAAUCUUGCGCAAUGGGCGAAAGCCUGACGCAGCGACGUCGCGUGGGGGAGGAAGGCCUUCGGGUUGUAAACCCCUUUUAACGAGGAAGAAACAAAUGACGGUACUCGUUGAAUAAGCCCCGGCUAACUCCGUGCCAGCAGCCGCGGUAAUACGGAGGGGGCGAGCGUUGUCCGAAUUUACUGGGCGUAAAGGGCGCGUAGGCGGGGAAUUAAGUCCGCUGUGAAAGCCCGGGGCUCACCCCCGGAGGGUCGGUGGAUACUGGUUUUCUUGAAGGUGCUAGGGGGAGAUGGAAUUACCGGUGUAGCGGUGAAAUGCGUAGAUAUCGGUAGGAACACCCGUGGCGAAGGCGGUCUCCUGGGGCACUCUUGACGCUGAGGCGCGAAAGCUGGGGGAGCGAACGG